Molecule: ribosomal RNA, 253 nt
Filed under: uncultured bacterium
Lineage: Bacteria
Description: partial 16S ribosomal RNA
Rfam family: Bacterial small subunit ribosomal RNA
Source: RNAcentral
UACGGGGGGGGCAAGCGUUGUUCGGAAUUAUUGGGCGUAAAGGGCUCGUAGGCGGCCAACUAAGUCAGACGUGAAAUCCCUCAGCUUAACUGGGGAACUGCGUCUGAUACUGGAUGGCUUGAGUUUGGGAGAGGGAUGCGGAAUUCCAGGUGUAGCGGUGAAAUGCGUAGAUAUCUGGAGGAACACCGGUGGCGAAGGCGGCAUCCUGGACCAACACUGACACUGAGGAGCGAAAGCCAGGGGAGCAAACGGG